AUUGAACGCUGGCGGCAUGCCUUACACAUGCAAGUCGAACGGCAGCACGGGUGCUUGCACCUGGUGGCGAGUGGCGAACGGGUGAGUAAUACAUCGGAACAUGUCCUGUAGUGGGGGAUAGCCCGGCGAAAGCCGGAUUAAUACCGCAUACGAUCUACGGAUGAAAGCGGGGGACCUUCGGGCCUCGCGCUAUAGGGUUGGCCGAUGGCUGAUUAGCUAGUUGGUGGGGUAAAGGCCAACCAAGGCGACGAUCAGUAGCUGGUCUGAGAGGACGACCAGGCACACUGGGACGUGAGAAAGGGCCAAACUCCUAAGGGGAGCAAGAGGGGGGAAAUUUGGGAAAAGGGGGGAAAGCCUGUCCAAGAAAGGCGGGGUGGGGAAAGAGGCCUUUCGGGUUGUAAAGAACUUUGGCCGGGAAAAAAAUCCUGGGCCUAAAUCCGGCCGGGGGUGACGGUACCGGAAGAAUAAGCACCGGCUAACUACGUG
This 486-nucleotide ribosomal RNA is filed under the name uncultured bacterium. Its description in RNAcentral is "partial 16S ribosomal RNA". It matches the Rfam family "Bacterial small subunit ribosomal RNA", at positions 29 to 507 of the family's 1533-position model. The record is from RNAcentral.